GACGAACGCUGGCGGCGUGCUUAACACAUGCAAGUCGAACGGAAAGGCUCCAGCUUGCUGGAGUACUCGAGUGGCGAACGGGUGAGUAACACGUGGGUAAUCUGCCCUGCACUCUGGGAUAAGCCUGGGAAACUGGGUCUAAUACUGGAUAUGACCUUUCUCCUUAUGGGGUUUGGUGGAAAGUUUUUCGGUGUAGGAUGAGCCCGCGGCCUAUCAGCUUGUUGGUGGGGUGAUGGCCUACCAAGGCGACGACGGGUAGCCGGCCUGAGAGGGUGAUCGGCAACAUUGGGAUGGAGAUACGGCCCAGCCUCCGCGGGGAGGAAGGAGGGGGGAAUAUUGCACAAGGGGGGGAGGCCUGAUGCAGCGACGCCGCGGGGGGGGGGACGGCCUUGGGUUUGUACCCCUCUUGCAGCAGGGAGGAAGCGUAAGGGAGGGUCCGUGAAGAAGAACCACGGCAAAAUUAGGGC
Molecule: ribosomal RNA, 467 nt
Filed under: uncultured bacterium
Lineage: Bacteria
Description: partial 16S ribosomal RNA
Rfam family: Bacterial small subunit ribosomal RNA
Source: RNAcentral